This 1512-nucleotide long non-coding RNA is filed under the name Gallus gallus (chicken). The record is from RNAcentral. Lineage: Eukaryota; Metazoa; Chordata; Aves; Galliformes; Phasianidae.
CCCAAGUGUCAUUCGUGGGGAGAGUCGGAAGAACCCAUCCAGGAGGGAUGCAGCUUCCUUCGGGGUGAUCAGCAGGCACCAAGUACUGAUCCCAUUCGCCUGAUCUGGAUUAGAGCUGCUACAGAAAGCUCAGCUUGUAAGUAGUAUUCCCUGAAAGGUUGCAGCAGAUGGGCGAGAGGAAAUUCAUCUGGAUCCCCAAACAGCUUGGAAUCAAUUUCACGUUUCUGCUGUAGAAGCUUUUCCCUUUCCUUCUUCUGCUUCUUUUCCAGUUCUCUCUUCCUUUCUUCCUCCUGUUCUCCUUCCAACAUCACUCUCAGUGCUCUCUCCUCAGCUUCAUACAGCUCCGUGCGAUUUUUGAGCAAUGCUCUGAGACUUUCCACCUGAUUUUCAAAGGCUUCAUCUGCUGAGGGAGGUGGACAAACACCUUUCCUGGCAGCAGCCUCUUUCCUCAGUUUCCGAAGCUUUUCUAAAGAGCCCAGGAUGUCCACCAUUCUCUUUGUGUCUGCCUGCUUCUUCCUUACUUCAGAUAAGACGCUGUCUGCAGCAGCCUUAAGCUCCCGCUCCCGGUUCUUCUCCUCCACCUCCUGGAUGCACUUGGCCCUCCAUCGGUCGAUCUCAGCCUCCCGCUCCGCAGCGCGGGCCGCCUCCUCCUCCUUGGCCGCGCGGGCCUCCCGCUUCCUCCUCUGCAGCCGCUCCCUCCUCUUCCUCGCCUUCUCGGCCUUCCUGCCCAGUUCCCGCAGGUAGCCGGGCUCCCUCAGCGGCCGCACCGUCUCCCGCAGUCCCUCCAGCAGCGCUUCGGCCUCGGCCCGUUCCCGCUCCCAGCCCUCCUCACAGCCUUCGGCCUCGCGGCGCCGCAGGGCCCGGCACAGCGCUGCCAGGCGGCUCACGGCCCCCAGCGCUCGCACCGCCAGCUGCCGCCCGAGCUCGGGGCUGGCUCCGCCGGGAGGCAGCGGGGGCGCCGCCGGAGGGCCGCGCCGGGCGAGGAACUCCGCCAACCACCGCUCAUCGCGCUGCCGCUGCGCCGCGUCCUCGUCCUCCGGGUCCCGCGGGGGCGGCGGCCGCUCGGCCGAGGGCCACGGGGGGAAGAGCGGCGGGGCGGCGGGGCCGCGGAAGAAGGGGCCGGGUUCGGAGGAAGGAGGCAGGAGGAAGGGAGGGAGAGACGGGCGGGCGGCGGGGACGGAGAAGGGAGCGGGAGGCGGCGGGAACGGCCCCGGUGCCUGAGGGGGGAAGGCGCGGAACGGCGGCGGCGGGAAGCGGCCCGGGAACGGCGGCGGGGGUUGCGCCAUCUUGGAGGCGCGGCGGCGACUGCGACAGCGCCCCCUGGCGGCCGGGAGGAACGCGCCUGGUGGGCGGUGACGGCGCUCUGAGGGCGGGGCCGGCGCGUUCCGCUCGCAGCCGUGCGGCGGCUGAGGGGGAAGGACGGCUCCUCAGGGUCGGUCCGGCGCAGCCACGCCAGAGAAGCGGGCAGUGCUACCCGAGGGAAAGGCUGCUUUGCUUAGAGCCAUAGAAUCA